AAUCGAUAAUCCACGAUGGACCUUACUUAAAUUUGUAUUCAGUUUAUAUACCGUCGUUAUUAGAAUAUUUUAUAAGAAUGAUAAUUUUCAUAAUUUUUUAAAAGAAAGGAUAUCAGAUCAAGGUGUAGCUAAUAUUUAAGUAGAAAUGGGUUACAAUAAAUUUAUUUAAACGAAUAUAAAUGUGAAAUGUUUAUUGAAGGUGGAUUUGAUAGUAAAAUUAUAUAGAUUAUUAUUUUGAUUUUAGCUCUAAAAUAUGCACACAUCGCCCGUCACUCUUAUUACUAAGGUAAGAUAAGUCGUAACAUAGUAGAUGUACUGGAAAGUGUACCUAGAAUGCAAUUUAAAGCUUAAUUAGUAAAGUAUUUCAUUUACAUUGAAAAGAUUUUUGUGCAAAUCAAUAUAGAUUGAUUAAUUUUUAUUUAUUAAUUUUUUUUUUUUAUUAUUUAAUUUAUUAAAAAUAAUUAUAAAGUUUAAUGUUUUAGUUUUUUAUAAAAAAAAAAUAA
This 503-nucleotide ribosomal RNA is filed under the name Gymnodia marshalli. RNAcentral's name for it is "partial 12S ribosomal RNA". The stretch from base 337 to 408 matches the Rfam family "tRNA". Lineage: Eukaryota; Metazoa; Arthropoda; Insecta; Diptera; Muscidae. The record is from RNAcentral.